This is a non-coding RNA of Doryrhamphus excisus (bluestripe pipefish), 873 nucleotides long. Lineage: Eukaryota; Metazoa; Chordata; Actinopteri; Syngnathiformes; Syngnathidae. The record is from RefSeq and is a predicted model, not a curated record.
UGACACAGCCAGUGAAGCAUGCUGGUUGCAGCAUGACGCUGUGAGGAUGGUUUACAGCUCCAGUAAAAGGAGGACAACUGGCUGCCAUUGAAGGAAAGACAAAUGCGGUGAAAGACAGAGAUACAGGAUCCUAGAAAAAAAAACCUUCUCCAGAAUCCUCAGAACAUCAGGAGAAAGGAAUGUUCCCAACACGGAAGAGUGACUGGCUGGAGAGGCGGCCAUCAAAAGAAGAUAAACAACAGAGAACUUCUAGACAGCGACACCACCUCACUUUCAACCGGUGGUCCAGUUUCCGAGUCCUUGGUGUGUUGUUCCAAUGAGGUUAUCUCCUGUCCAAAACAUCACAAUGAGCGCUAAUUUACAAGCCAGAUCAGGACUUGGGAGGGAGGAGGCUAAGGAGGCCUCGGGGAAGGAGAGGGAGCAGCCUGCAUGGGGCCCUCGUCCUGCACUGCCCGCUGACUGGCCGAGGAGAGCUGUUCUCAUCAUGGGAACGGCCCAGUCGGGUCCCAGCUGGAGCAGCCAUACUGUGGCCUGUGCGCCGCAACAAUAAGGGCGACCAGAAAAAGGACAGAGGGCUGUCUUAGUCGACUUUAUAUAGUCCCCUAAAUCAUUAGAGGCUCUGACAAAGCGCAGGCGAGGGAGGAUGUGGGUAUCAUAAAAACCAUUAAUAACCCUAUACUUACUGGUGUGAAAAUGUCGACAAGUCUCGGAUACCGGAGUGUAAUGUUCUCAUCAUCUUUAAUUACCUGUAACUACUACUAACGUCGCCCAAUGAUAUACUACCUUCUAUUUCCUCACCACAGCAUUCUGGCAUUGUUUUACAUAACAUAUCAUUUCCAUCACUGAGGACCGAGUAAUGUAAACAUUGUUUCG